RNAcentral lists this ribosomal RNA (253 nucleotides) under uncultured bacterium. RNAcentral's name for it is "partial 16S ribosomal RNA". It matches the Rfam family "Bacterial small subunit ribosomal RNA", at positions 524 to 776 of the family's 1533-position model. The record is from RNAcentral.
UACGUAGGGUGCGAGCGUUAAUCGGAAUUACUGGGCGUAAAGCGUGCGCAGGCGGUUUUGUAAGCCAGAUGUGAAAGCCCCGGGCUUAACCUGGGAAUGGCAUUUGGGACUGCAAGGCUUGAGUGCGGCAGAGGAGACUGGAAUUCCUGGUGUAGCAGUGAAAUGCGUAGAUAUCGGGAGGAACAUCAGUGGCGAAGGCGGCCCUCUGGUCCAGUACUGACACUCAAGUGCGAAAGCGUGGGGAGCAAACAGG